UCAAGUGAAUAAGUGCAUGUGGUGGAUGCCUUGGCGAUUACAGGCGAUGAAGGACGUUGUAGCCUGCGAAAAGCCGCGGGGAGCUGGCAAACAAGCUUUGAUCCGCGGAUGUCCGAAUGGGGAAACCCACCCGCAAGGGUAUCGCUGACUGAAUCCAUAGGUCAGCGAGGCGAACGUGGCGAACUGAAACAUCUAAGUAGCCACAGGAAAAGAAAUCAACCGAGAUUCCGAAAGUAGUGGCGAGCGAAAUCGGAGCAGCCUGUGCGUGAUAGUCGAUUGGCUAGUGGAACGGUAUGGAAAGGCCGGCCAUAGAGGGUGAUAGCCCCUUACACGAAAGCGAAUCGGUGGUACUGAGCGUACGACAAGUAGGGCGGGACACGUGUAAUCCUGUCUGAAGAUGGGGGGACCAUCCUCCAAGGCUAAAUACUCGUAAUCGACCGAUAGUGAACAAGUACUGUGAAGGAAAGGCGAAAAGAACCCCGGGAGGGGAGUGAAAUAGAUCCUGAAACCGCAUGCAUACAAACAGUCGGAGCCUCUUAAUGGGGUGACUGCGUACCUUUUGUAUAAUGGGUCAGCGACUUACGUUCAGUGGCAAGCUUAACCAGAUAGGGGAGGCGCAGGGAAACCGAGUCCGAAUAGGGCGCCAUAGUCGCUGGGCGUAGACCCGAAACCAGGUGAUCUAUCCAUGGUCAGGAUGAAGGUUGGGUAACACCAGCUGGAGGUCCGAACCGACUAAUGUUGCAAAAUUAGCGGAUGAACUGUGGAUAGGGGUGAAAGGCUAAUCAAACCUGGAAAUAGCUGGUUCUCCCCGAAAACUAUUUAGGUAGUGCGUCAUGUAUUGCUCCAGGGGGUAGAGCACUGUAAUGGUUGUGGGGGCCAUCGCGGCUUACCACGCCAUAGCAAACUCCGAAUACCUGGAAGUAUGAGCAUGGCAGACAGUCGCCGGGUGCUAACGUCCGGCGGCAAGAGGGAAACAACCCAGACCUACAGCUAAGGUCCCAAAGUGUGGCUAAGUGGGAAACGAAGUGGGAAGGCUAAAACAGUCAGGAUGUUGGCUUAGAAGCAGCCAUCAUUUAAAGAAAGCGUAAUAGCUCACUGAUCGAGUCGUCCUGCGCGGAAGAUGUAACGGGGCUAAGCCAUGCACCGAAGCUUAGGCUGCACUCUUUGAGUGCGGGGUAGGGGAGCGUUCUGUAAGCCUGUGAAGGUGUCUCGUAAGGGAUGCUGGAGGUAUCAGAAGUGCGAAUGCUGACAUGAGUAGCGUUAAAGCGGGUGAAAAGCCCGCUCGCCGUAAGCGCAAGGUUUCCUACGCAACGUUCAUCGGCGUAGGGUGAGUCGGCCCCUAAGGUGAGGGCGAAAGCCAUAGCUGAUGGGAAGCUGGUUAAUAUUCCAGCACCGAUUUCUAGUGCGAUGGGGGGACGGAUCGUGGAAGGUUGUCCGGGUGUUGGAAGUCCCGGUUCCUGACCUGUAGGUGUCUGGUAGGUAAAUCCGCCAGGCGUAUGCCGAGGGGUUGGGACGAGCGAGCUUGCUCGCGAAGCAACUGGAAGUGGUUCCAAGAAAAGCCUCUAAGCUUCAGCUAGAAACGACCGUACCGCAAACCAACACUGGUGCGCGAGAUGAGUAUUCUCAGGCGCUUGAGAGAACUCGGGAGAAGGAACUCGGCAAAUUGACACCGUAACUUCGGAAGAAGGUGUGCCUUGGUAGCUUGAGUGUGAACAACACAAGGGCAAAGAGGUUGCAAAGAAUAGGUGGCUGCGACUGUUUAUUAAAAACACAGCACUCUGCAAACACGAAAGUGGACGUAUAGGGUGUGACGCCUGCCCGGUGCCGGAAGGUUAAGUGAUGGGGUGCAAGCUCUUGAUCGAAGCCCCGGUAAACGGCGGCCGUAACUAUAACGGUCCUAAGGUAGCGAAAUUCCUUGUCGGGU
RNAcentral lists this ribosomal RNA (1924 nucleotides) under human oral metagenome. Its description in RNAcentral is "bacterial LSU rRNA". It matches the Rfam family "Bacterial large subunit ribosomal RNA", at positions 3 to 1977 of the family's 2925-position model. The record is from RNAcentral.